Molecule: ribosomal RNA, 426 nt
Filed under: uncultured bacterium
Lineage: Bacteria
Description: bacterial SSU rRNA
Rfam family: Bacterial small subunit ribosomal RNA
Source: RNAcentral
GAGGAAUCUUGCGCAAUGGGGGAAACCCUGACGCAGCCACGCCGCGUGGGUGAAGAAGGCCUUCGGGUCGUAAAGCCCUGUCAGGUGGGAAGAACCGCGAGGGAAUGAAUAACUCCUUUGCCUGACGGUACCACCAAAGGAAGCACCGGCUAACUCCGUGCCAGCAGCCGCGGUAAUACGGAGGGUGCAAGCGUUGUUCGGAAUUACUGGGCGUAAAGCGCGUGUAGGCGGCUAGGUAAGUCGAAUGUGAAAGCCCUCGGCUCAACUGAGGAAGUGCAUCCGAUACUGCUUGGCUUGAGUCCCGGAGAGGGAUGUGGAAUUCCCGGUGUAGAGGUGAAAUUCGUAGAUAUCGGGAGGAACAUCAGUGGCGAAGGCGACAUCCUGGACGGUGACUGACGCUGAGACGCGAAAGCGUGGGUAGCAAAC